AUCCCGUGCAUGUCCGGGUAAUGAUAUGCACCUCCCUGUUGGACUAGGCCCGGACUUGAUCCGGGCCUCUUUU
Molecule: non-coding RNA, 73 nt
Filed under: Shimia gijangensis
Lineage: Bacteria; Pseudomonadati; Pseudomonadota; Alphaproteobacteria; Rhodobacterales; Roseobacteraceae
Description: Pseudopelagicola gijangensis Singlet oxygen resistance RNA X
Rfam family: Singlet oxygen resistance RNA X
About the family: SorX (RSs2461)like SorY is a singlet oxygen induced sRNA that counteracts oxidative stress by targeting mRNA for a transporter in Rhodobacter. It also has an impact on resistance against organic hydroperoxides. It targets SD sequence of potA mRNA via an aSD sequence.
Source: Rfam by way of RNAcentral